This is a long non-coding RNA of Oreochromis aureus, 1166 nucleotides long. NCBI's taxonomy places the organism in Eukaryota, Metazoa, Chordata, Actinopteri, Cichliformes, Cichlidae. The record is from Ensembl.
UGUUCUUGCUGGUGUUCAGGACGAGGAUGUUGUCUAAGCACCACUGUGUCAGGUGUUGGAUCUCCUUUCUAUAGUCAGUCUCAUCAUUGUCUCGCAAACUUCACAACUGUGUUAGUGAAAUGAAUGGGAGAACAAUUGCGAGUAAAGACAUUGAAUAAGGCCGGGCUGAGCACACAGCCCUCUGGGGUGCUCGUCUUCAGGACCAGUGUGGAAGAUGUCCAGCUCCCCAUUCUUACCGCCCGAGGCCUGAUGGAGAGGAAGUCUCUGAUCCAGUAGCGCAGCGAAGUCGACAGACCCAGGUUAUGAAGCUUCAGAGCCAGCUUAUUCAGGAUCACAGUGUUGAAAACAGAGAAGAAGUCAACAAACAGCAUCCUAACAUAAGAGUUGUGAUGUUCCAGGUGGGUCAGAGCUUACAUCCUGUGUUGAACUUUCCACCUGUAUGCAAGCUGAUGUCUGUCCAGACCAACAUGGAUGCGCUUGGUCCUUGAUGUGCUUCUGAACGAUCCUCUCACAGCACUUCAUAAUUGCUGAAGUCAGGGCCACAGGACUAUAAUCACUGAGGCAAGAGACAAUCUUUUGGGUACAGAGGAUUUAAGGCAGACAGGUUGAAGAUGUCCAGAAAAACUUCUGCCAGUUAGUCAGGGCACGCCUUCAGAGUCCUGCCUGACAGCUAACACGAGAGUGAGUUUAAAUGUUUUGUUAAUAAAAACAUCCCCGUCUGAUUCUGCAUUAUAUAACCCUCCGGGGCUGCAUGUUCACAUCCGUCCGCUAGAGGGUGCUGCGGGCCCUCAUUGUAGAGCCACCCUCGUAGGCUCCUGACCCGCGUUCACCCGUACUGUACAGGCAUGGGGGAGGACCGAGCAUAGAGAACUAGUAAACGCUGUGGAGUUCCCUGUGCACACCGUGGCCAUGACUUUGACAGUACCGGCUAGCGGACGUUGCUCUCCCGUCUCCAGGCACCUGAAAGCGGACCGGUAGAGGAGGCUACACCGGAGGGAGAGGCAUUAGCUGACGCCGGCUCGAGUCGAUUUUCUGUGAAGGAAGACGCUUUGCCACAUGAUGUUUUCCAGUAAAUAUGUUGGUGAAGAAAGCCGGCCUCCAUCUUCAUAGCAGCAGGGCCCAGGCUCAGGAGUGAAAUCACAUUAGAUUGCAUAAAACUAAGGAAA